GAUGAACGCUGGCGGCGUGCCUAACACAUGCAAGUCGAGCGAAGCACUUUGCUUAGAUUCUUCGGAUGAAGAGGAUUGUGACUGAGCGGCGGACGGGUGAGUAACGCGUGGGUAACCUGCCUCAUACGGGGGGAUAACAGUUAGAAAUGACUGCUAAUACCGCAUAAGACCACAGCGCCGCAUGGUGCGGGGGUAAAAACUCCGGUGGUAUGAGAUGGACCCGCGUCUGAUUAGCUGGUUGGUAAGGUAACGGCUUACCAAGGCGACGAUCAGUAGCCGACCUGAGAGGGUGACCGGCCACAUUGGGACUGAGACACGGCCCAAACUCCUACGGGAGGCAGCAGUGGGGAAUAUUGCACAAUGGGGGAAACCCUGAUGCAGCGACGCCGCGUGAGCGAAGAAGUAUUUCGGUAUGUAAAGCUCUAUCAGCAGGGAAGAAAAUGACGGUACCUGACUAAGAAGCACCGGCUAAAUACGUGCCAGCAGCCGCGGUAAUACGUAUGGUGCAAGCGUUAUCCGGAUUUACUGGGUGUAAAGGGAGCGUAGACGGAUGGGCAAGUCUGAUGUGAAAACCCGGGGCUCAACCCCGGGACUGCAUUGGAAACUGUUCAUCUAGAGUGCUGGAGAGGUAAGUGGAAUUCCUAGUGUAGCGGUGAAAUGCGUAGAUAUUAGGAGGAACACCAGUGGCGAAGGCGGCUUACUGGACAGUAACUGACGUUGAGGCUCGAAAGCGUGGGGAGCAAACAGGAUUAGAUACCCUGGUAGUCCACGCCGUAAACG
Molecule: ribosomal RNA, 780 nt
Filed under: uncultured bacterium
Lineage: Bacteria
Description: bacterial SSU rRNA
Rfam family: Bacterial small subunit ribosomal RNA
Source: RNAcentral